UACGUAGGGUGCGAGCGUUGUCCGGAAUUACUGGGCGUAAAGAGCUCGUAGGUGGUUUGUCACGUCGUCUGUGAAAUUCCGGGGCUUAACCUCGGGCGUGCAGGCGAUACGGGCAAUACUUGAGUGCUGUAGGGGAGACUGGAAUUCCUGGUGUAGCGGUGAAAUGCGCAGAUAUCAGGAGGAACACCGAUGGCGAAGGCAGGUCUCUGGGCAGUAACUGACGCUGAGGAGCGAAAGCAUGGGUAGCGAACAGGAUUAGA
Molecule: ribosomal RNA, 260 nt
Filed under: uncultured prokaryote
Description: partial 16S ribosomal RNA
Rfam family: Bacterial small subunit ribosomal RNA
Source: RNAcentral